RNAcentral lists this ribosomal RNA (497 nucleotides) under uncultured bacterium. RNAcentral's name for it is "partial 16S ribosomal RNA". It matches the Rfam family "Bacterial small subunit ribosomal RNA", at positions 28 to 507 of the family's 1533-position model. The record is from RNAcentral.
GAUGAACGCUGGCGGCGUGCCUAAUACAUGCAAGUCGAGCGUACAGACGAGGAGCUUGCACCUCUGACGUUAGCGGCGGACGGGUGAGUAACACGUGGAUAACCUACCUAUAAGACUGGGAUAACUUCGGGAAACCGGAGCUAAUACCGGAUAAUAUAUUGAACCGCAUGGUUCAAUAGUGAAAGACGGUUUUGCUGUCACUUAUAGAUGGAUCCGCGCCGCAUUAGCUAGUUGGUAAGGUAACGGCUUACCAAGGCAACGAUGCGUAGCCGACCUGAGAGGGUGAUCGGCCACACUGGAACUGAGACACGGUCCAGACUCCUACGGGAGGCAGCAGUAGGGAAUCUUCCGCAAUGGGCGAAAGCCUGACGGAGCAACGCCGCGUGAGUGAUGAAGGUCUUCGGAUCGUAAAACUCUGUUAUUAGGGAAGAACAAAUGUGUAAGUAACUAUGCACGUCUUGACGGUACCUAAUCAGAAAGCCACGGCUAACUACGUG